GCGGUGAUUCGCCUCGGGUUGGCCGUUUCUGGCCGAAUUCGGCCACACUCGCAUUGGUCCCUGCGAUAAAACAACCCUAGGGCCCUCGUGGGGCCAAAAAAUUACGGAAAACCAAAGCUUACAGGCGGCGGUGCUCUCGGGUGCGGCGGCUCUCCGGCGAGGUUCGUGUUUUGGUGAUUCGGCUCCGGUCAACCUGUAGAGAAAAGAAUGGUGAUCACGGUGAUAUAAAAAUUGCAUCAAACGGAGGCCGGGAAGGGCCUCAUCGGAGGCAAAAACCGAGAAGGGGCGCGGCGGGUGGCGGCGGCCGGCUUCUGGUUCGCCUUCUCCGGCGAGGGCAGGCGACUAGGGUUUUGUGGUCUGGUGUAGGGGUUCUAUUUAUACCCUUUUGCCUUUUGAUCUCAGCCGUCCAUUUUGAUUUAAUCUAGGCCGUCCGUUUUUGAUUGAAUCUGGGCCGUCCGAUCGCACGCUUGAUCUGGGCUGUCCGAUCGCGCAUACGCGGAUCGCCAACGUGGUCCAUCCCGGAUCGACGUGUCU
This 534-nucleotide long non-coding RNA is filed under the name Carica papaya (papaya). RNAcentral's name for it is "long non-coding RNA (CPAP_LNC003555)". The record is from RNAcentral. Lineage: Eukaryota; Viridiplantae; Streptophyta; Magnoliopsida; Brassicales; Caricaceae.